RNAcentral lists this long non-coding RNA (350 nucleotides) under Androctonus crassicauda. Lineage: Eukaryota; Metazoa; Arthropoda; Arachnida; Scorpiones; Buthidae. The record is from RNAcentral.
AGAGGAGGAGGAAAAUCUGGUUCAUUGCGGUAAGGUUAAUCCAUUUAAAGUAGCCAAGAUACUUAAAUCUGAAUUGGUACUACCUGUUUCUCUACAAACAGUUCAAAGAUGGUAUGUCCUUUUAUAAUAAACUUAUAAAUGUAUGAAAGCUUUGUUUUUAUUUUGUGGGCUAAUAUGGCACAAGAUUCCUAUGACAUUAGAACAGCCGAUGACUUGUGGGAAAUCAUUUGUCAAAGAUGGGAAGCUAUUCAGCAGACAAACAGAUGCGAAACUAUAAUUAACAGUAUGCCAGAUAGAAUAGAGAUGGUUAUCUCAAACGGAGGAUUUUGGAGCAAAUAUUGAAUUUAUAC